GAUGAACGCUAGCUACAGGCUUAACACAUGCAAGUCGAGGGGAAACGAUGAGAGAGCUUGCUCUCUUAGUCGUCGACCGGCGCACGGGUGAGUAACGCGUAUCCAACCUGCCUCUGACCAAGGGAUAACCCGUCGAAAGUCGGACUAAUACCUUAUGCAGUCGUCGGAAGUCAUCUGAUGACGACGAAAGAUUUCAUCGGUGAGAGAUGGGGAUGCGUCUGAUUAGCUUGUUGGCGGGGUAACGGCCCACCAAGGCGACGAUCAGUAGGGGUUCUGAGAGGAAGGUCCCCCACAUUGGAACUGAGCCACGGUCCAAACUCCUACGGGAGGCAACCGUGAGGAAUAUUGGUCAAUGGGCGUAAGCCUGAACCAGCCAAGUAGCGUGCAGGAUAACGGCCCUAUGGGUUGUAAACUGCUUUUAUGCGGGGAUAAAGUGAGGGACGUGUCCUUCAUUGCAGGUACCGCAUGAAUAAGGACCGGCUAAUUCCGUG
This 491-nucleotide ribosomal RNA is filed under the name uncultured bacterium. RNAcentral describes it as "partial 16S ribosomal RNA". It matches the Rfam family "Bacterial small subunit ribosomal RNA", at positions 28 to 507 of the family's 1533-position model. The record is from RNAcentral.